This 262-nucleotide long non-coding RNA is filed under the name Bos mutus (wild yak). Its description in RNAcentral is "lncRNA (ENSBMUG00000007117.1)". The record is from RNAcentral. Lineage: Eukaryota; Metazoa; Chordata; Mammalia; Artiodactyla; Bovidae.
CCGGCCUUUAAGUUCUCCAGAAUGACUGUUGGAUCAUCAAAGCAACGUUCUUGUGAAGGUGGAUUUGAAGAGGCAGGAGAAGGACAGAGCCACAUCAGGAAAAGGGUGUGGGAAUUCUGUGAGGAGGAGAAACUGAGACCCAGAGAAGGGAAUUGAUCCAGUGGCAAUGAGUAUUUCUCUUUAGGAGAUUUCAAAUGUAAUCUCCAACUGACAAUUCAUUGUCAAAUUUUGAGUCUUUGGAUGCUGGCUCCUGGAUGAAUCA